AGCAGUGGGGAAUCUUAGACAAUGGGCGCAAGCCUGAUCUAGCCAUGCCGCGUGUGUGAUGAAGGUCUUAGGAUCGUAAAGCACUUUCGCCAGGGAUGAUAAUGACAGUACCUGGUAAAGAAACCCCGGCUAACUCCGUGCCAGCAGCCGCGGUAAUACGGAGGGGGUUAGCGUUGUUCGGAAUUACUGGGCGUAAAGCGUACGUAGGCGGAUUGGAAAGUUGGGGGUGAAAUCCCAGGGCUCAACCCUGGAACUGCCUCCAAAACUAUCAGUCUAGAGUUCGAGAGAGGUGAGUGGAAUUCCAAGUGUAGAGGUGAAAUUCGUAGAUAUUUGGAGGAACACCAGUGGCGAAGGCGGCUCACUGGCUCGAUACUGACGCUGAGGUACGAAAGUGUGGGGAGCAAACAGGAUUAGAUACCCUGGUAGUCCACACCGUAAACGAUGAAUGCCAGUCGUCGGGCAGUAUACUGUUCGGUGACACACCUAACGGAUUAAGCAUUCCGCCUGGGGAGUACGGUCGCAAGAUUAAAACUCAAAGGAAUUGACGG
RNAcentral lists this ribosomal RNA (548 nucleotides) under uncultured bacterium. RNAcentral describes it as "bacterial SSU rRNA". It matches the Rfam family "Bacterial small subunit ribosomal RNA", at positions 350 to 916 of the family's 1533-position model. The record is from RNAcentral.